UUUAUACUCGAUAUAUUAUUCCAAGCAGAUAUACAUGUGAAGAAUAUUAUGAUCUUGAUCAAUAUGGAAUCUGUAUCAUGAUCAGUGGGUGUAUCGAUCGACCCUCCAAAGAAAAAGGAUAUCCUCUGCAUAUAUGUGUGCAUGCCAACAACUAUAAAAGGAGACCAUGAGGCAAUGAGUCGAUCAUCCAAGGAAACACACAGAUAUCCCAACUAAAAUUCCAUCAGUGAGACAAUGGCUGGAACCAAUGAUAUUAAAAUUAAAGGGUUUGAUUUGAGCAACAACAAAGGCAACACGUCGGGAUUAACCCACUUCGCCAACAGAGCUGACGGGGGCGACAAGGGCGACAAUAAAAUCGAGGUUGAGGAUGCUAAAGGGCAAGGGAACACAGGAAACUUGAAAGUACUGACCGACUUCGCCCAACGCGGUAAAGUGGGCCAGUCGGAUCGCCAAGAACUACUCAAACCUCAGGCAUGAAAUUGAAGAAGGCCAUACCAUAACCACUUGUCUGCUUGAUAGAUAUAUGUGCUAAAUUAUCUACACAAAAAUAAGAGCUGCUGUUUUAUCUGAGGCUCCUUCCUUGGUUAGGCCUCGUUAUCAUGUGUAAUAUUAAUAUUAUUAUUCUAAUAAAAUAAUGGUAGCUUAUUAUUAAAUAUAUCAGAAUUCUAUACGUAUAACUUUUAGAUUAUUGAUACUGAUGUCAACAAGAGAAAAUGAUUAAAAAUUCCUUUCUCCAAUUCGUGAUGUUACAAAAUGAGACUUCAAAUUUUAAAACUAUAGUUGCAUACGAGUAUAAAACUGAACCAAACAAUGUAUGGGCCAGAGUGACCAAGGAUGUACGCCAGUGAACUAAUGGUCUCUCGUUGCAUGCACGCAUAUGCAAUUGAAGGAGGCAUUAUCUGAGGCUCCUUCCUUGGCUAGGCCUCAUUUUCAAUUUUGAUUUCAACUUUGAUUUCGCUUAAACUUUGAUUUUGAGCUAGACUGUGAUUUCGACUUUGUGAUUCUGAUUCUCUCCCAAUUCGUGCCUUAAGAAUCAGUUUCUCCCAACUCUAUUUACCAAAACCGAAAACUCUAAACUUUUCAUUUCGUCUGGCUACUCUCAGGGUUUCAUGCCCUAGUUUUCUCUUGCCAAAAAGACUUGGCUUUCAUGUCAUGCUAUACUCCUCGAUUGAACAAGCCGUGUCUUCAAAUUCAGCUUUCUCACUUCCUUUCUCUUUACUUUCUUUCUUUUGUUUUCCGGCCAGGAAAAUUAUGGAAGCAUUACAAAUUUAAGAGAAUAUUCUAGUAUUAGGGUCCAAACUGUACUAUUUAGGUAUUUUCAUUCUGAUUAAGAGUUCCUUUCUAGAAAUUUAGGGAAGAAUAAAGUUUCUGUUUUAGUGUUUGAUUUUCAUUAUAGUGAGUUAUGUGAAAUCGAAAUGUUUCUUGUGUGAUUUCAUCACUGCUUUCAAAUUGCAAAUUAAGGAUUUGAAGGUUACAAAUUAUUAUGUAGAUAAUUUUUGGGAAUUUAAGAGGCAGUACAGUGUUUGUAUAAGUCUUGAGAUAGACCAAUUUACCAUGCUCGAUUUCUAUAUAUAAAUUUUUUUAAAUCAUUCUUUUGUUUUAUUUAUUCUGUUAAUUUGUCAUAAUGUGUAAUAUGAUAGCUUCUAAUUCUUUCUUCCUAUUUCUUCUUUUUUGUUAUUCUCUCCCAAAUGAAAUGAAGACCUAACUUAUAUCAAGAAGAAGAGGAUGGAUCCUUACAUAUGAAGAUUUUAAAAUUAACAUUAUUGGAAGACAGUAGGAGUAUCGGCAAUUUGAUACGAGUAUCGGAGUAUCAAAUACGAGCAUACCCGUCUUUAACAAUGUCUCAUUUCAAUUGGUACAAAAGAAAAAUAAAGGCAAAGUUGAAAAUAGAUUGUUCAGUUUGGAAAGUUGUUAAUGUAUGCAUUUUGAGUUUUUCUUUUGGCUUCCCUUGACAACUUUGUAAUAGGAUUUCUAUUGUUAUUUAUCAAGCUCAAGUUUAGAUUGAGAAUAGCUUCUCUAGGUGUUCUUAACUAACAACUAUUCUAUGGAGGUUCAUGCAAAUUGGCAAAGGUAAAUUGUGCAUUGCAUAACAUUGCAUUAUAUUGUUUUCAUAAAAUGAUGACUAGUCAUCUGUUUCUUGGAUGACUAGUCAUCCUUGCUCUCUAGCUUGAUAACCAACUUUUUUGUCCUAUUCCUUUUUCUCUCUCUGCUGCCACAUGGGAUUCUGACCUAAGGGAAUUUUUUGGUCUAUAUAGGCCUUGCAAUUCCUCAUUUGGCAGUCUUCACUUUUGGGGACAAGUUUUGGAAAGUCUCAUAGCAAACUUUCGCUUCUUCUUCCUCAAGAGUAACCUUCAUAUUUUUCAUCUUUGAGUUUUCCAAAUUGUUUCUUUUUGAAAACUGCAUUUGAAAUAUGAAAACUUCAUCAUGCUAGAUCAAACACUCUAUCAUAUACAUCUAGGUCAGAUUUAAAAUUGAUUUCUUCAAGAGUAUGGUUUCUUGAAGAAAUUGGUUAUUUUCUCCAUUAAUCCAAAUUUCGUUUCUGUUUGAGUUGAGCUUGCAAGCUGGUGCCAUGGGAUGAAUGAGCUGAAGAAGGAGCUGCCAUUGCCAUGAAGAACUGGGCUUCAAGCUUUGCUAAGUUAGAAAAGAAGAUUGCACAAAGGAGGUAUAGCUCAUCUUCCUAAAUAGACCUAGGAAUUUCUUGAGCUUGCUAGUGUUCUUUGUAAGAAUCUUUUUUGCUUAGUGGAUUGCCUGGUCGGUUGAUGACCCCCAGUUUUUCCCAAUGGUGGGUUUCUGGGUGAACAAUUUCUGGUUUCCAUCUCUGUAAAUUUUCUGGGUUUGUGUUCUUGAUAGUUGACUAAUCAUCUGAAUUUGUGCGGUUGACUAGUCAUCUUUUUCUGCUGUUUUGUGUUUGCUUGAUUAUGUUGUCUUCACACACUUUCACCAUAGUUGUUGCUAGCACAGGGAAUGCCUAGAUUGAUGGGUCCUUCUGAGUGACUAGGUUGUCACUAGUAAUUCUUUAGGCCUGCAGGUACAUCUUGGUAUGCUCUGUGUAUGUUAUUGUUUGGUAUAAUUCAUAUCUAACAGUUGACUAGUCAUAAGAGUAUUUGGUCAAGGUCUAGAGUGUGUGAAGGUUGUUGCGUUUUUGAUUGAAUAUCUUUUAAAUUUACCCCUCGUCACCUAAGUACCAAUUUCAAAAGUGACAUUGAGAUUUAAAAAGACUAAACAUUAAGAUGGCAAGAGAGAUCUAAAAGGAUCAAACAAAAAAAAUGAAUGAAAAAUUGAAAAUGCCCUAGAAAGGGAGGAAAUCUUAGUUGCAAUGGGGAUAAUAGUGUUUUGCUAUCCUCGAUCAAUAAUUUUAUACCACGUGACCUAAGGAGGCAUGUCUAUCUAGCUCAUCUGGUCCACCGUCCAUGAUAUGAACUCGACUUGAGAUUUUUUUUUUUUUUUUUCCUGGGUUGAAGUAGAACAACUAGACUUGAGAGUUGAUGUCAUAUCUCAGGAUCGGCUCCACCGUAGCACGAUAUUGUCUGCUUUAGGUCCCCUCUCUGUCCUCUGGUUUUGUUUUUAGGAGCUCACGAGCAACUUCCCAGUUGGUCACCCAUCUUGGGAUUGCUCUAGCCCAAACUCACUUAACUUCGGAGUUCUCAGGACUCCGAAGCCAGUGAGCUCCCAAAAAGCCUCGUGCUAAAUGGAGGUGGGCAUAUACAUAUAAGGUGCAACACCCCCUCUCUGUUGAUCGAUGUGGAAUGUUACAAUCCACCCUCCUUAGAGGUCUGACGUCCUAGUCGGCACACUCUCACCACACGGCAGAGUCGCUCUGAUGCCAAAUCGUCACAUCCCGGGAUUGGUUCCGUCGUAGUACGAUAUUGUCCGUGUUGGGUCAAUCUCUCUGCCCUCACGAUUUCGUUCUAGGAGCUCACUAGCAACUUCCCAGUAGAUCACUCAUCCUGUGAUUGCUCUAGCUCAAACUAGCUUAACUUCGGAGUUCCCAUGACUCCGAAGCCAGUGAGCUCCCAAAAGGCCUCGUGCUAGAUAGAGGUGGGCAUGUACAUAUAAGGCACAUCACCUCCUCUCCGUUGGUCGAUGUGGGAUGUUACAGUUGAGGGCUCCGUUGGUCAAUGUAGGAUGUUACAGUUGAGGGCUCCGUUGGUCGAUAUAGGAUGUUAUAGUUGAGGCAGCCAAACUAGAAGGGAAGUAACCCUACUCCACUCCCUCUCCCCAUGUGCCCAGUUCUCUACUCGUUUCACCUUUUAAACCUUUUAGGAUUUUCCAUACACAAAGAGGAGAACGACCACAUUACGGUCCCGUUUGGUUCACGAACAGAUUUGAGGGGAAAUAACUUCUCAUGUCCUUUCUCAAGGAAUGGGAAAUGAAGAUUCAUUUCCCAUAUUUGGUAAUCCUAGAAAAAUAACAAAGAAAUACCACUUUAUUUCCUUUCACAUGUUUGGUUUGUGUAGGAAUGUAAAACAAAGUUUGUUUAAUUUUCCAAUUAUACCCAUAUGAAAUCAAAUAAAACAAAAGAAUAUUUAAUGUUAUAUUGUAAUUCUAACUGUUAAUGGGAUGGUCAUGAAAAAUGUGUAUUUAAUGUUGGCUCAUUUGCUUAUUUUCCCAAACUUUCCCAUGAGGAGGAAAACAAAACCCAAGGGAGGAGGAUGGCUUCACUUUCCUCUCUACUUUCCCAUAUACAAGGCAACGAUUUCUCAAGCCUGGACUUACCAAACAUGAUAAAUAAAUUAAUUUCUCAUCCCCAAGCCAUUUUUCCCAUAAACAAAACAGAGCCUACAGAUUUUUAGCUUCAACCUUUAAGGAUUUUCAUAACAAAUCUUUCAAUCUUAUACCAAGGAAAGAAAAAAAAAAAAAAAAAAAGGGAUCCAUGCAUGUAAUUUCUAGAUUAAAAUCUCACUUUUUACGCAUGCCAUUAUCUAAGGAUUAGGUAUUACUACACACGAACAAUCUUACGAUUAUCUGCAAUUCGUCCUUCAAUGGCCAAAGACAUUAUAUCAAAUCAACAAUAAGACGUACAUUUCUUCAAAGAACUAAAUUAUGUGGAUUUCAACUUGCUCUCACUUAUAUGUUUGUCUCUCUCCUCCUAUUGUUUAGCUUAAGGUUUUAGGGCGUGGUUGUCUAAGAACAAUAAGGUAAACAUGCUUACAAAAAAAGAUGGACAGCUGGGAUGGACAUAUGCGAAUGUGAGCUUUUACACAUUGCCACUAAUUUUCUCCAUGAUUUUGUUGAAAUCAUUAACAAAAUAAGAAACUUUAGUAAUUGAAGCGAAAGAGACUAAUUAUCAGAACAGAAAAUAUGAAAAGAGAAGCUCCCAAUCCAAACUUUAAGUCACAAGUUUAACAGUUUACUUUAAAACAAAAGCAAGUUACGAAACAAUCCCCUGCUUUCCUUGUUAAACAUCAACGGACCCAUUAUUGAUGAGGAUUGAGAAUCUAAGAGCAUAUGGACGAUGGAUCUCUCUCUCUUUUUGAAAACAAAAACAAAAACAAAAAUCAACUUCAUUAUCCUUAGUGAAUUUGUUCGGGAUUAGUUGUGUUGAAUUAGUACAGCUUACUUACGCAAUCGAACAUCAAACCUAGCUAGCUAAAAAGAGAAAAAGAAAGGGCACAACGACAGUACUGUAGUAUACGUGAAGAAUCUUAUGAUCUAUAAUAUUCUGUAUUAUUGGCCAUCAUUUUCAAUCCUUAUUAAAGAAAACUUGCUUCGCCAUAAUUUCAAGUUGUUCUGAAGGCAGGCAUAGAUAAUGAUCAAGGAAGGUAAGGGCACUUCGAAAGAUUCCUUCUCAUCAUCUAUACAAGGAAAUGUGUUCUCAUCAAGCUAGCGGACAAGGCAAAUUAGCAACCUUUAUACUCAGAUAUAUUAUUCCAAGCAGAUAUACAUGUAAAUAUAUGUGAAGAAUAUUAUGAUAAUGAUCAAUAUAGAAUCUGUAUCAUGAUCAGAGGGGUAUCGAUCGACCAUCCAAAGAAAAGGAUAUCCUCUGCAUAUAUGCAUGCCAACAACUAUAAAAGGAGACCAUGAGGCAAUGAAUAAUCAAAGCAAAGACACAGAUAUCCCAACUAAAAAUCAAUCAGUGAGACAAUGGCUGGAACUGGAACCAAUGAUAUUAAAAUUAAAGGGUUCGAUUUGAGCAACAACAGCGGCAACACGUCGGGAUUAACCCACUUCGCCAACAGAGCUGAUGGGGGCGACAAGGGCGACAAUAAAAUCGAGGUUGAGGGUGCUAAAGCGCAAGAUAACAAGGGAAACUUGAAAGUACUUACCGAUUUCGCCCAACGCGGUGAAGUGGGCAGGUCGGAUCGCCAAGAACUACUCAAGCCUCAGGCAUGAAAUUGAAGAAGGCCAUACCAUAUAUGUGCUGAAUUAUCUACACAAAAAUAAGAGCUGAUGUUUUAUCUGAGGCUCCUUCCUUGGUUAGGCCUCGUUAUCAUGUGUAAUAUUAAUAUUAUUAUUCUAAUAAAAUAAUGGCAGCUUAUUAUUAAAUAUAUCAAAAUUCUAUACUUAUAACUUUUAGAUUCUUGAGUUGGAAACCCUAGCUGCAUUUUGGUCCUUUUUCUUCUUGCCGACAACCAACCACAAGGAAACUAAGGGGGAGGUGGCCACUGCCCCUCCCCCCCUUUGCCCAUCUUCUCCUUUUUCUCCUCAUCUUCCCUUCUUUUUCUCCCAUCUUUUCCCCUCCUCUUAUGCCCUCUUCUCUUUCCAUUCCCCUCCCCAUAUAGUCUAGAUCUGUUUGGAUUUAGGUUUUGUUUGUUUGUUUGGUUUGGUUGUUUUUGCAGUGUUUUAGGUGACUGGUAGUGACGUUGGAUUGUGUCUAUUAUCUGGAGAGUUGUGAUACCUGGUGGCUGAUGUUUUGUCUCUAUUUCAACGACGACGGCAGUAGCGACACUAGCGAUAGUUAUUGGAUCUGGUGCUCUUCUUUACUCUGCACUUACCAAAGAACUAUGCUUGGUCAUAGGAGGUUUUCUUUGUCAGGUUCUGAGUUGAAGAGAGUGCUUCUUAGGGGUUCUUUUAUUGUUGUUUCUGUGUUCCUCCUCUGUGUUCUCUCCUGUUUUCUGUUAUGGUAUGCCUUGUAGUUUGUAUGGGUGUCAAAAUACAAUGAUUUUGCUCAUAGAAGGCUUCUUUUGACAGUUGGGAUGUUCUAUGGUCCUCUCCUGUGGGUUUACUAUUUGGGGUUUCUGUCGUCCUCUCAUGUGGGUGUACUAUGUUAGUAUCUAGUUGAGGUUCUCGUCGGAGUUCUUUUUGUUAGUUUUCGUUUUUGAUUUGUUCUCUUAUUGUAAUGGUCCAAAGCGAUUAGAAUUGAACUCUCUUGUUAGUCCAUGACUCUUUUCUCACCGGGAUUUGUCCCAUGAGAUUGUCCUAGGAAGGUUUUAACGAGGUCACUGUAUCAUGUUGCUCUUUGUACGUCUUUGGUUCUAUUAAUAAAUUCUCUUUCUUAAAAAUAACAAAAAUAAAUAAAUAAAUAAAUAAAAAUUUAGAUUAUUGAUAACGAUGUCAACAAGAGAAAAUGAUUAAAAAGUCCUUUCUCCAAUUCGUGAUGUUACAAAAUGAGACUUCAAAUUGUAAAACUAUAGUUGGAUACGAGUAUAAAACUGAACCAGGCAAUGUAUGGGCCAGAGUGACCAAGGAUGUACGCCAGUGAACUAAUGGCAAUUUCUCGUUGCAUGCACGCAUAUGCAAUUGAAGAAUGCCAUAAUAAUAUGUGUUUUUACUAAAUUAUCUGCACUAAAAUAAAAACUGAGGCAUUAUCUGAGGCUCCUUCCUUGGCUAGGCCUCAUUUUCAAUUUUGAUUUCAACUUUGAUUUCGCUUAAACUUUGAUUUUGAGCUAGACUGUGAUUUCGACUUUGAUUAUGAUUAUCUCCCAAUUCGUGCCUUAAGAAUCAGUUUCUCCCAACUCUAUUUACCAAAACCAAAAACUCUAAACUUUUCAAUUCGUCUGGCUACUCUCAGAGUUUCAUGCCCUAGUUUCCUCUCGCCAAAAAGCCAAAAAGACUUGGCUUUCAUGUAAUGCUAUACUCCUCGAUUGAACAAGCUGCGUCUUCAAAUUCAGCUUUCUCACUUCCUUUCUCUUUACUUUAUUUUCUUUUGUUUUCCAGCCGGGAAAAUCAUGGAAGCAUUACAAAUUUAAGAGAAUAUUCUAGUAUAAGGGUCCAAACUGUACUAUUUAGGUAUUUUCAUUUUGAUUAACUAGAAAUUUGGCGAAGAAAAAAUAGUGUUCGUCUUUUAGUGUUUGAUUUUCAUUAUAGUGAGUUAUGUGAAAUCGAAAUGUUUCUUGUGUGAUUUCAUCACUGCUUUCAAAUUGCAAAUUAAGGAUUUGAAGGUUACAAACUACUAUGUAGACAAUUUUUGGGAAUUUAAGAGGCAGUACAGUGUUUGUAUAAGUCUUGAGAUAGACCAAUUUACCACGCUCGAUUUCUAUAUAUAAUUUUUUUUUAAAUCAUUCUUUCGUUUUAUUUAUUCUGUUAAUUUGUCAUCAUGGGUAAUAUGUGUUUGUACCCAAUUUUAGUAAAUGGACUAAAAAUGGUUUAACGGGUUAAAAGAAUAUUUUGAAGAUAAAUCCAGGCCCAUUAACAUUUGUUUUUUCUCAAAAAAGUCAUCUCUUUCUUAAGGGCUUUUUGGAAUAAAUCGAUAGGAAGGCCCCAAACUGUGAAGGAUCAUAUCCUUAUCUCGCACUAAAGGUUAAAAAUCGAUAAACGUGUUUCCUAGGCCCACGUGAGAGGCUGAAGGGGAUUAUCACAUUUAAUAACGACUUGACCUCCUUCUCUCCCAGUAAGAAAACAAGUCAUACAGAAGCCACCAAAACCAGAGGAGGAUCAAAUUGCCAGCCAGGUCUUCUAGUACGAAAGGGUCAAAUCAAGAGAGCUUCACAAAGAAAACUGACGGUUCCUGACAGAAGCCCUCCAUCAUUCCCUCUAUGAACCAGUUAAGAUCAACAAACCAACAGCUGACCUUGAACCACAAGCCAAAGGUCUUGUCGCAGUUUCCAUCAUUAUAAGCUCCUUCCUCCUCUAUAAAUAAAGAAGGGGACUCUCUCCCCAAAAUCAAACGCAACGUCUCAAAAAACACUUAAAAACUCUCAAGAUAGCAAUCUGCCUACUCUCUUUAGAUAACCAGACGACAACUCCUGUGUUUAUCUCUCGUAGCUCUGCCAUAUUCAUGGUAUGAUUUUCUUUUAAAAGUAAUCUGUUUCAAUUCUUGUAAUCACUUAACUGGAUUGAGAAAUCUCCAGUCUCUCUUUCCUUGCUUUGUAAUUCUGAUUUAAAGAUAAUUGAUGGAUUAGUUGAAGAAGGUUCUGUUAUUUAAUCUCAAUUACACUUAUACCAAGUAUAAGUUGCAGAAAAAUCGUCUUAAAUAAAUCCACUUAGUUAACUAAAAAUGAAUUAUGGACCAUUUUAGUAUAUAAAAUUGAAUUCCCGCCUUCGUCCUUUUAUAAAAGUCCAAAGAACCAACAUUCGGGAUGAAAAGCGAUUGGGGCCUGAAUGAAAUAGUAACGAUAGGAGGGAUAGGAAGUUGACUUGGGCCCGAAUUAACUAUUAAUCCAGCCCGUGCGAUAUAGAUAUUUUAACUGGUUGAUAAAACCCAGAUAGGGUCUUACUAUCCACGAUCUUGGUCUCUCUCUCUCUCUCUCUCUCUUUUACUUGUUCAGGUAUCGCUCAUACUUGUCAGGUUGACACUCACGAAGGAAAGAAUAUUGAAGUCCUCUUAACUGAGGCAUAGAAAAGAAUCAAUCCAGGCUAUUACCCCCCCGGAGCACAAUGGCUUGAGAAGAAGUCUAGAAAAAGACGUGUAAGUUCCAUCAAAAUUAACCAUCAUAAGCAUCCAUACCAGGUCUAUUAGGUUGGUCCUAUACCCAAUAGUGGCACGCCUAGGUAACACCACGAAUCAGAAUUGAGAAAAGUUGACAUAUAUGGCCUCAACUGGGCCCGCUCGCUUUUGGCAAACUGAUUCAACUUUCAAUUUUGUUCAGAAAUUGAAGGAGUCCUCUCUGUGAGCCAAGAAACACCAUCUAAUCGGGGCAUUGGUGUUGAUCUAACUAAACCUCUUCGUUCCUCCAAGCAAAGCUGACCCCCGUGGGCAGCGAAAAGGAACGGCGAACGGAAAAAAGGAUCAACAAUAUGAUAGCUUCUAAUUCCUUCUUCCUAAUUCUUCUUCUUUUUUUUGUUUGUUAUUCUCUCCUAAAUGAAAUGAAGACCUAACUUAUAUCAAGAAGAAGAGGAUGGGUCCUUACAGAUGAAGUUUUUAAAAUUAACAUUAUUGGAAGACAAUAGGAGUAUCGGCAAGUCGAUACGAGUAUCGGAGUAUCGGUAAGAAUAUCGGAGUAUCAAAUACGAGCAUGCCCAUCUUUAACAAUGUCUCAUUUCAAUUAAUACAUAAGAAAAAUAAAGGCAGAGUUGAAAAUAGAUUUUUCAGUUUGGAAAGUGACAUUGAGAUUUAAAAAUACUAGACAUUAAGAUGGCAAGAGAGAUCUAAAAGGAUCAGACCCAAAAAAAAAUUGAAUGAAAAAUUGAAAAUGCCCUAGAAAGGGAGGAAAAUUUAGUUGCAAUGGGGAUAACAAUGUUUUGCUAUCCCGAUCAAUAAUACCACGUGGCCUAGAAGGAGGCAUGUUAAUCCAACUCAUAUGGUCCACCGUCAUGAUUAAAGAAAGCCUACAAGAACGGGAGGCAUUUAUGCUAAUCAAUACCUUAGCAGAAAGAUUACAGGAGGAAGGAGUAGAACAACAGACAUCAUAAACAAGCACCGCCAACUAUAUGGCAAAGUUCAUAUCCGAAAAAGCCUAGACCGAAACAUUCGGAAUGGAGGAAGAGAUCCAACUUGCACCUACCAAGUUAAGUCAAACCUGGACUUAACCCCUACUUUCCCAUGUGCAAGGGAACAAUUUCUGAAGCCUGGACUUACCAAACAUGGGAAAGAAAUUAAUUUCUCAUCCCCAAGCCUCCUUCUCCUUGAACCAAACGGGGCCUACAAGUUAUUAGCUUCAAGCCUUUAAGGAUUUUCAUAACAAAUCUUCCAAUCUCAUACCAAGGGGGGAAAAAAAAGGGGGAUUCAUGUAUGUAGUUUCUAGAUUAAAAUCUCACUCUUUAAGCAUGCCAUUAUCUAAGGAUUAGAUAUUACUACACACGGACAAUCUUAUGAAUAUCUGCAAUUCGUCCUUCGAUGGCCAAAGACGUUAUAUCAAAUCAACAAUAAGACGUACAUUUCUUCAAAGAUCUAAAUUAUGUGGAUUUCAACUUGCUCUCACUUAUAUGUUUGUCUCUCUCCUAUUGAUUUGCCUCUCCAUACGAGGGAGGGUGUUUAGCUUAAGGUUUUAGGGCAUGGUUGUCUAAGAACAAUAAGGUAAAUAUGUUUUAUCCAAUUACAUGAGAUACCCUUAUCUUCAAAAACAAAAAAAUGGGCAAAAUUAAAUUAGCAAGGAUGGACAUAUGUGAAUGUGAGCUUUUACACAUUGCCACUAAUUUUCUCCAUGCUUUUGUUCAAAUCAUUAACAAAAUAAGAAACUUUAGUAAUUGAAGCGAAAGAGACUAAUUAUCAAAACAGAAAAUAUGAAAAAAGAAGCUCCCAAUCCGAACUUUAAGUCACAAGUUUAACAGUUUACUUUAAAACAAGAGCAAGUUACGAAACAAUCUCCUGAUUUCCUUGUUAAACAUCAACCGACCCAUUAUUGAUGAGGAUUGAGAAUCUAAGAGCACAUGGACGAUGGAUCUCUCUCUCUUUUUGAAAACAAAACAAAAAAUCAACUUCAUUAUCCUUAGCGAAUUUGUUCUGGAUUAGUUGUGUUGCAAUGGAACAUCGAACCUACCUAGCUAAAAGGAAAAAAGAAAGGCCACUAUGACAGUACCCCUAGUAUUGGUCGUCAUUUUCAAUCCUCAUAAAAGCAAACUUACUUCGCCAUAAUUUCAGGUUGUUCUCAAGGCAGGAAGGUAAGGACACUUCAAAAGAUUCCUUCUUAUCAUCUAUAUAAGGAAAUGUGUUCUCAUCAAGCUAGCGGACAAGGCAAAUUAGCAACCUUUAUACUCGAUAUAUUAUUCCAAGCAGAUAUACAUGUGAAGAAUAUUAUGAUCUUGAUCAAUAUGGAAUCUGUAUCACAUAUAUCCUCUGCAUAUAUGUGUGCAUGCCAACAACUAUAAAAGGAGACCAUGAGGCAAUGAGUUGAUCAUCAAAGCAAACACACAGAUAUCCCAACUAAAAAUCAAUCAGUGAGACAAUGGCUGGAACUGGAACCAAUGAUAUUAAAAUUAAAGGGUUCGAUUUGAGCAAAAACAGCGGCAACACGGCGGGAUUAACCCACUUCGCCAACAGAGCUGAUGGGGGCGACAAGGGCGACAAUAAAAUCGAGGUUGAGGGUGCUAAAGCGCAAGAUAACAAGGGAAACUUGAAAGUACUUACCGAUUUCGCCCAACGCGGUGAAGUGGGCAGGUCGGAUCGCCAAGAACUACUCAAGCCUCAGGCAUGAAAUUGAAGAAGGCCAUACCAUAUAUGUGCUGAAUUAUCUACACAAAAAUAAGAGCUGAUGUUUUAUCUGAGGCUCCUUCCUUGGUUAGGCCUCGUUAUCAUGUGUAAUAUUAAUAUUAUUA
RNAcentral lists this long non-coding RNA (12573 nucleotides) under Prunus dulcis (almond). RNAcentral describes it as "sRNA ncRNA". Lineage: Eukaryota; Viridiplantae; Streptophyta; Magnoliopsida; Rosales; Rosaceae. The record is from RNAcentral.